This 430-nucleotide ribosomal RNA is filed under the name Intrasporangiaceae bacterium Ellin7201. RNAcentral describes it as "bacterial SSU rRNA". It matches the Rfam family "Bacterial small subunit ribosomal RNA", at positions 28 to 456 of the family's 1533-position model. Lineage: Bacteria; Bacillati; Actinomycetota; Actinomycetes; Micrococcales; Intrasporangiaceae. The record is from RNAcentral.
GACGAACGCUGGCGGCGUGCUUAACACAUGCAAGUCGAACGGUGAGGAUCAAGCUUGCUUGGUCUGAUCAGUGGCGAACGGGUGAGUAACACGUGAGUAACCUGCCCCAGACUCUGGGAUAACCCCGGGAAACCGGAGCUAAUACCGGAUAUGACACCAAUCCGCAUGGGUAUGGUGUGGAAAGUUUUUCGGUCUGGGAUGGACUCGCGGCCUAUCAGCUUGUUGGUGAGGUAGUGGCUCACCAAGGCGACGACGGGUAGCCGGCCUGAGAGGGCGACCGGCCACACUGGGACUGAGACACGGCCCAGACUCCUACGGGAGGCAGCAGUGGGGAAUAUUGCACAAUGGGCGGAAGCCUGAUGCAGCGACGCCGCGUGAGGGAUGACGGCCUUCGGGUUGUAAACCUCUUUCAGCAGGGAAGAAGCGCAAG